UACGAAGGGGGCUAGCGUUGUUCGGAAUUACUGGGCGUAAAGCGUGCGCAGGCGGCUUCUCAAGUCAGGGGUGAAAGCCCAGAGCUCAACUCUGGAAUUGCCUUUGAGACUGAGUGGCUUGAGUACGAGAGAGGUGAGUGGAAUUCCCAUUGUAGAGGUGAAAUUCGUAGAUAUUGGGAAGAACACCGGUGGCGAAGGCGGCUCACUGGCUCGUAACUGACGCUCAUGCACGACAGCGUGGGGAUCAAACAGG
Molecule: ribosomal RNA, 253 nt
Filed under: uncultured bacterium
Lineage: Bacteria
Description: partial 16S ribosomal RNA
Rfam family: Bacterial small subunit ribosomal RNA
Source: RNAcentral